Molecule: ribosomal RNA, 497 nt
Filed under: uncultured bacterium
Lineage: Bacteria
Description: partial 16S ribosomal RNA
Rfam family: Bacterial small subunit ribosomal RNA
Source: RNAcentral
GAUGAACGCUGGCGGCGUGCCUAAUACAUGCAAGUCGAGCGAACAGACGAGGAGCUUGCUCCUCUGACGUUAGCGGCGGACGGGUGAGUAACACGUGGAUAACCUACCUAUAAGACUGGGAUAACUUCGGGAAACCGGAGCUAAUACAGGAUAAUAUAUUGAACCGCAUGGUUCAAUAGUGAAAGACGGUUUUGCUGUCACUUAUAGAUGUAUCCGCGCCGCAUUAGCUAGUUGGUAAGGUAACGGCCUACCAAGGCAACGAUGCGUAGCCGACCUGAGAGGGUGAUCGGCCACACUGGAACUGAGACACGGUCCAGACUCCUACGGGAGGCAGCAGUAGGGAAUCUUCCGCAAUGGGCGAAAGCCUGACGGAGCAACGCCGCGUGAGUGAUGAAGGUCUUCGGAUCGUAAAACUCUGUUAUUAGGGAAGAACAAAUGUGUAAGUAACUAUGCCCGUCUUGACGGUACCUAAUCAGAAAGCCACGGCUAACUACGUG